Molecule: non-coding RNA, 231 nt
Filed under: Gammaproteobacteria bacterium
Lineage: Bacteria; Pseudomonadati; Pseudomonadota; Gammaproteobacteria
Description: 6S RNA
Rfam family: 6S / SsrS RNA
About the family: E. coli 6S RNA was the first non coding RNA to be sequenced, but its function was unknown until recently. It consists of 184 nucleotides that fold into an extended hairpin structure with a large single-stranded internal bulge.
Source: RNAcentral
CGUCUCCUGGGAUGUUGGCCAGCUAGCGUCAUCCUUGAGCCGUUAUAGAAACCUAAGGGGAUUCGGCGUCGGCGACGGUUGUGCACACCCUAGGACUGCGGUGAACGUGCGCCCUGACGGGCGCGUUGUAAAUCCGCAGGCGGAUUGUGGGAAGCCUGAAGUGCCGCCUGAAUCCCCGCCUUGAACCACAACGGUUCAGGGUCACCAAGCAGCCGCAUUGCCGGGAGACAA